This 84-nucleotide transfer RNA is filed under the name Prevotellaceae bacterium. RNAcentral's name for it is "tRNA-Leu". It matches the Rfam family "tRNA". Rfam says of the family: Transfer RNA (tRNA) molecules are approximately 80 nucleotides in length. Lineage: Bacteria; Pseudomonadati; Bacteroidota; Bacteroidia; Bacteroidales; Prevotellaceae. The record is from RNAcentral.
GCCCGGAUGGCGGAAUUGGUAGACGCGCUGGUCUCAAACACCAGUGGCUGUAAGGCUGUGCCGGUUCGACCCCGGCUCCGGGUA